Molecule: transfer RNA, 25 nt
Filed under: Gobiodon brochus
Lineage: Eukaryota; Metazoa; Chordata; Actinopteri; Gobiiformes; Gobiidae
Description: partial tRNA-Pro
Source: RNAcentral
AGUACAUAUAUGUAUAUACCCCAUA